UUCUAUGAUGAUAUCUUCACGAUUUGUUCCGGCGAAAUACAUGAGCCACGAACUAAACAUGCAUCACCAUCUGAUC
This is a small nucleolar RNA of Rachicladosporium sp. CCFEE 5018, 76 nucleotides long. The record is from Rfam. Lineage: Eukaryota; Fungi; Ascomycota; Dothideomycetes; Cladosporiales; Cladosporiaceae.